UACGUAGGGGGCAAGCGUUGUCCGGAUUUAUUGGGCGUAAAGAGCGUGUAGGCGGCCAGGUAGGUCAGCUGUGAAAACUCGAGGCUCAACCUCGAGACGUCGGUUGAAACCACCUGGCUAGAGUCCGGAAGAGGAGAGUGGAAUUCCUGGUGUAGCGGUGAAAUGCGCAGAUAUCAGGAGGAACACCAAUGGCGAAGGCAGCUCGCUGGGACGGUACUGACGCUAAGGCGCGAAAGCGUGGGGAGCAAACAGG
This 253-nucleotide ribosomal RNA is filed under the name uncultured bacterium. RNAcentral's name for it is "partial 16S ribosomal RNA". It matches the Rfam family "Bacterial small subunit ribosomal RNA", at positions 524 to 776 of the family's 1533-position model. The record is from RNAcentral.